CUCCGGUUUUCCCCGUAGGGGCACAUGGUACAACCACCAUCCUAUAUCUCUGUGAGAUCAGAGAUGCUUCUCUGCUGUUACCUCCGCGUCGCGCUGGAGUUUGUGCACACGCUGGAGGCGCAUCCACAUCGGCAGCCUGCAGCCGCGCCGCGCCAGAAGUCGCGCCGCGCUAAUGUCACGCCCGUGCCGGAGAAGCUUGCCAGCGCGUGGCCACGGUGGAGUCUGCGCGUCCGCGAGAGAAAGCGAUCAGCGCAAACGUGGUCUGGAAUAGAGCUCGAGCUGCGACUCGCUCACCUGAGCCCAGGCGGCGGCAGCCAGCAAAUCCGUUACUCGUUGCU
This 338-nucleotide unclassified non-coding RNA is filed under the name Zea mays. RNAcentral's name for it is "misc RNA Zm00001eb229680". The record is from RNAcentral. Lineage: Eukaryota; Viridiplantae; Streptophyta; Magnoliopsida; Poales; Poaceae.